Non-coding RNA from Pelobates cultripes (western spadefoot toad), 317 nucleotides. NCBI's taxonomy places the organism in Eukaryota, Metazoa, Chordata, Amphibia, Anura, Pelobatidae. The record is from the annotation of a GenBank genome assembly.
AGGGAUUGUGCUUACUCAGCCACGGAAACCCUAAUAUGAUAGGACAUGAUGGAGAAGUAAUAACCUGAAACGUCAUCUCCUCCCUAUGGGAGGCCCCAAUGGAGAUCGUAAUAGGGACAGUUUCAUGGGUUAUAAGCAGUUGUGUGAGUGGUCUACCAUCAAUAGCCUCUACAGCUAGCGGCGUAGGUCUCUCCCUGACCGGUAUCUCAUUACCCCUAAUAAACUGGACAUCAAUAAAAUUUCCAGCAGCACCUGAGUCCAUUAGGGCACUGCAAGAAAACUUCUUGUUAUCAAGGGAAAUAGAUACCUCAAGGAGG